AUUGAACGCUGGCGGCAGGCCUAACACAUGCAAGUCUAACGAGUGGCGGACGGGUGAGUAAUGUCUGGGAAACUGCCCGAUGGAGGGGGAUAACUACUGGAAACGGUAGCUAAUACCGCCUACCAUCGGAUGUGCCCAUAUGGGAUUAGCGAGUAGGUGGGGUAAUGGCUAACCUAGGCGACGAUCCCUAGCUGGUCUGAGAGGAUGACCAGCCCCACUGGAACACAGACACGGUCCAGACUCCUACGGGAGGCAGCAGUGGGGAAUAUUGCACAGUGGGCGCAAGCCUGAUGCAGCCAUGCCGCGUGUAUGAAGAAGGCCUUCGGGUUGUAAAGUACUUUCAGCGGUGAGGCGUUACUCGCAGAAGAAGCACCGGCUAACUCCGUGCCAGCAGCCGCGGUAUUUC
This 406-nucleotide ribosomal RNA is filed under the name uncultured bacterium. RNAcentral describes it as "partial 16S ribosomal RNA". It matches the Rfam family "Bacterial small subunit ribosomal RNA", at positions 30 to 526 of the family's 1533-position model. The record is from RNAcentral.